RNAcentral lists this ribosomal RNA (425 nucleotides) under uncultured bacterium. Its description in RNAcentral is "partial 16S ribosomal RNA". It matches the Rfam family "Bacterial small subunit ribosomal RNA", at positions 354 to 796 of the family's 1533-position model. The record is from RNAcentral.
GUGGGGAAUCUUAGACAAUGGGCGCAAGCCUGAUCUAGCCAUGCCGCGUGAGCGAUGAAGGCCUUAGGGUUGUAAAGCUCUUUCGUGGGGGAAGAUAAUGACUGUACCCCAAGAAGAAGCCCCGGCUAACUCCGUGCCAGCAGCCGCGGUAAUACGGAGGGGGCUAGCGUUGUUCGGAAUUACUGGGCGUAAAGCGCACGUAGGCGGACUGGAAAGUCAGGGGUGAAAUCCCGGGGCUCAACCCCGGAACUGCCUUUGAAACUCCCAGUCUUGAGUUCGAGAGAGGUGAGUGGAAUUCCGAGUGUAGAGGUGAAAGUCGUAGAUAUUCGGAGGAACACCAGUGGCGAAGGCGGCUCACUGGCUCGAUACUGACGCUGAGGUGCGAAAGCGUGGGGAGCAAACAGGAUUAGAUACCCGGGUAGUCC